This is a long non-coding RNA of Schistocerca cancellata (South American locust), 1904 nucleotides long. RefSeq lists it as uncharacterized. NCBI's taxonomy places the organism in Eukaryota, Metazoa, Arthropoda, Insecta, Orthoptera, Acrididae. The record is from RefSeq and is a predicted model, not a curated record. The transcript has 4 exons.
CGUAGUUGACACUUGACAGUCGUGUAGUGGCGGUGUUUUUGUAGUGAUUUUGUUGGGAAGGAGUGUUCUUUACAGGUAUGACAAUAAAUUGUCACGUUAUCGACAUGACUGAGUGUUGAAAUAUUUUCCAUCUUAGUUGUAUGUCGCCACUAAUAACCUGAGCGUGUUAUUGACUCCAGAUGAUAUUUGAUAUAUAACAUAAAGAUGAGCAAUUUAAGUGGACAUACUUCAGUAUCCUAUGAAAGUGAUUUUAUACAGUUGACGGAACUUGCGGGAAUAAAAAUGCAACCAGAAAUAAUCAGGGUACUCCUAGAAUUGCUCAGCAUGAACAUUCAUCCCACUUCGAUUUACACUAUUCUACGUCAUCUUUGUGCCCGACACGGACAGAAGGCACGUGCAGCUGCAGCCUGCCAGAAGCUCGCAAGCAAAAGUAAAUGAUUUGAUUUCCUUUUUAAACAAAAGAAGAAGGAAAAAGAAGCAACUUUCACCUCAAAUGUCAUUCUUGUUACACACUUGGUUAUAAUUAGUUUUUUUUAAUUUGUUUAGUGCACUUUCCAGUCACAUUAAUGUGACCAUCUGUAAAAACCUGAAUAACCACCUUUGACUGUGGACUGCUGUGAAACAUGCAGGAAGAGAGUCAGUGAGGUUCUAAAAGUUGCCGAGGGGUGUGUAGAGCCGUGCCAGCUCCAGUGCUGUGACCAGCUGUGCUAGGUUUCUUGGUUGAGAAUCAGUGGUGUGAACAGCCUGAUCAAGGUAGUCCCACAAAUUCGUGAUUUUGUUCAAAUUUGGGGAGUUUGGUGGCCAGGGGAGUACAGCAGACCCAUCUUGGUGCUCUUCAAACCACACACAUACAGCUGGGAGCUGUGUGACACAUUGUGUUGUCCUGCUGGUACAUGUCAUUGUUCCAAGGAAAAAAAAACUGCAAAUAAGGAUGGACAUGGUCAAGGAUAUAUGCAUAAUUACGGUGAUCCAUUGUGCAUUCCAGAAUGAUGUGAUCAUCCAGUGUUUGCUUUCAGAUGUUUCACACCAUACAUGCCAGUCUUCAUCUGUCUGCCGGAGCAUAAAAUAUGGUUCAUCUGAAUGUGAUGCGUCUGGAAAGGCCACCUGUUGCCACUCAGUGGACAUCCAGUCAUGGUACUGGUGUGCAAUUCCAGCCUUUGUCACUGUUACACCUUCCUCGCAUUCAGUUUUCUCAGAAAAUAGAGGAGCUAUGUUCAUGAUUAUGGAUUACAAUUAGAAUUGCAUGGAUGCAUAAACCAGGCAAGUUCUGCGGAGGUCCAUAUGCAACAACAUUCACUGAGCAGUCGUUGAGGAGACACUGUUCAUAUGUUCUUCUCUACACACAUCUGCAGGUGCCAUCCACCCCUGUUAUCUAUGGCCUAUGAUGCACAGCUCUUGCCUUGGUGCCGGUUUUGGAUAGCAGCAUUUUGCCAUGUGCUGUGUACUUUAACCACAACAACAAGCAAAUAAAUUACAAACUUAGCCGUUUAGGAAAUGCCUCCACCCUUGGCCCAAAAGCCGGUGGUCGUUCUCUUGCAGAAGUCAGAUAAAUAAUUCCAUUUCCACGUUAUGAUAAUGAAAUCAUUGUUUUCAGUGUCUCCCCCAAAAAGCUUUGUAUACCCUCCACUGUUAGUGCUUGCACUUGUAAUUUGUGAGUGGUUAUUUGCAUAUCGAUGUCGAACGUAGGUGAUGGUCGCAUUAAUGUGACAGAUAAUGUAUAUCAACCAUGUCUCUGUGACAACAUUCGGCACUGUGUGUACAGCUGGAGCAAAAGACAGAGAAAGGAUCUUUAGUGCAGCAAGGAACAUUAAUUAGCAUUUUAGCAUUGUAAUAUUUAUGUAUUAUUCUUUGAAUGUUUGGUAGUUAUCAAUUGAAUUUCAAUAAAGACUUAUGGAUUACUGGCA